Molecule: ribosomal RNA, 721 nt
Filed under: uncultured Nitrososphaerota archaeon
Lineage: Archaea; Thermoproteati; Nitrososphaerota
Description: bacterial SSU rRNA
Rfam family: Archaeal small subunit ribosomal RNA
Source: RNAcentral
UUGAUCCUGCCGGACCCGACUGCUAUCAGAGUGGGACUAAGCCAUGCGAGUCAACAUAGCAAUAUGUGGCAUACGGCUCAGUAACACGUAGUCAACAUGCCCAGGGGACGUGGAUAACCUCGGGAAACUGAGGAUAAACCGCGAUAGGUCAUCACUUCUGGAAUGGGUAAUGACUUAAAUCUACAUGGCCCCUGGAUUGGACUGCGGCCGAUCAGGCUGUUGGUGAGGUAAUGGCCCACCAAACCUGUAACCGGUACGGGCUCUGAGAGGAGGAGCCCGGAGAUGGGCACUGAGACAAGGGCCCAGGCCCUAUGGGGCGCAGCAGGCGCGAAACCUCUGCAAUAGGCGAAAGCUUGACAGGGUUACUCUGAGUGAUUUCCGUUAAGGAGAUCUUUUGGCACCUCUAAAAAUGGUGCAGAAUAAGGGGUGGGCAAGUCUGGUGUCAGCCGCCGCGGUAAUACCAGCACCCCGAGUGGUCGGGACGUUUAUUGGGCCUAAAGCAUCCGUAGCCGGUUCUACAAGUCUUCCGUUAAAUCCACCUGCUUAACAGAUGGGCUGCGGAAGAUACUAUAGAGCUAGGAGGCGGGAGAGGCAAGCGGUACUCGAUGGGUAGGGGUAAAAUCCGUUGAUCCAUUGAAGACCACCAGUGGCGAAGGCGGCUUGCCAGAACGCGCUCGACGGUGAGGGAUGAAAGCUGGGGGAGCAAACCGGAUUAGAUACC